Molecule: long non-coding RNA, 3050 nt
Filed under: Mus musculus (house mouse)
Lineage: Eukaryota; Metazoa; Chordata; Mammalia; Rodentia; Muridae
Description: long non-coding RNA chr10:82707960-82711010
Source: RNAcentral
GGAGACAGGAUCUCAAAUAGAACCCUGGCUGGCUUUGGACUAUGUAGCUAAGAGUAACCUUGAACUUCUGGUCACCCUGUUGUACCUUGUGACUGCUGAGAUUAUAGGCAUGUGUCACUGUGCUUGGGAUGUGCGUUGCUGAAGACUGGACACAGGGCUUCCUGUCUGCUGGCCACGCUCUCCACCACCUGAGCUGCACACCUAGACCCUCACAUGGCCUUUUUUAGAUGAUGGUUGAGAAUUCCACAAGCAGUAUUAUAGUGAGAACAUACUAGCUUUUUACAACCCAGUCUUGGCACAUCUUGUUCAGAGCUGUCACAGACCAGCCUAAAGUAAAGGGGAGAGGAGCCUCAUCUCAUGAGGGAAAGAAUGUCAGAUGUUUGGGACUGUGUUUUAAAGCCACCACUGUUGUCAUUGACAAGAGUAUGGGCCAGACGUUUUGUGUCUUCACUAGUAAAUCACAGCAAGUGCUCCAGGACGUAGUAGAGUUCCUAAGUGUGUAUGACGUGAGUAUCUGGAAGUUUUGCUUUUGCUUGCUUAGUGCCUUUUUGUACUAUGUGAAUUUUUUUACAAUAGGCAUAUGGUAGACAUUUUUCUUUUCAAAACCCUGUGUGUGUGUGUGUUUUCUUGUGAGUUUGUUGCACUGUGUGCAUGUAGGUGCCUUUAGAGGAAAGAAAGGGGCAUCAAAUCCUCUGUAACUGGACUUCCAGGUGGUUAUAGCCACCAGAUGUCAGCACUAAGAACCCUACUUGAGUCUUCUGCAGAGUGGUAAUAGCUCUUAGCUACUAAGCCAUCUCUUAAGCCCCUUUUUCUUUUUCUUUCCUUUUUUUUUGUUUUUGUUUUUUGUUUGUUUGUUUGUUUGUUUUGAGAUAGGGUGUUUUUGUGUGGUUCAUACUGACCUGGAAUCCAUGGUCUUCCUCCCUCAGACUCCUGAGGGCUGAGAUUACAGCUGUGCACCACUAUGUGGCUGGCAUAUGUUAGAUUUAUGAAUCAAAAUAAAAAGCAAAUAAAACAUGUGAAUGUUUUAAUUUCUUUUGUGAUAUCCUAGGUAUUUAAAUGAUUUCUAUGAGUUGGAGCUACAGCAUGGUUCUGGUGUUGUGGGCUGGAGCAUCCCAGCCACCAAAGGCGUUGUGCCUUCUCCAAGAGAAUCCCAUACUGCUAUUAUCUAUUGUAAAAAAGACUCUGCGAGUCCUAAGAUGUAUGUUUUUGGUGGAAUGUGCGGUGCUCGUCUGGAUGACCUAUGGCAGCUUGAUUUAGGUAAUCUUAAUUUGACUCAGGAAUUUCUUACGAUUAGUAAAGGAACAGUUUUAAUGUAUUUAAUUUUUUUGUUUAAAUAUUCUUCAAAUUGCACUAAGAUUUUAGUCAGCAUUUAUAGUCUUAGGAACAGAUGAGACAUAGUCAAUUAUUUUGAGCAAAAUUUCUUACAACUAUGGUAGUAGUGUUCCACCUUUAAUAUCGCCUUAAGUUCUGGUUUGUCUAGAAUGGUCCAGCUUUGUGCUUAUUGUUCCUUGUAAUUGUCAGUAGUGCCCUCUGUCACGCAGAGAAGUAUCUGGUUAGGUUGCUCGUUUGUAUGGUUGUCCUCUCUAUCUUCAGAAGUAUGGCUUUCACAGCACACACUAACCAGUGGGAAACCCAGAGGGAAGGGAUUCUACAAGUGAGCAAUGGGGAUUGUGCUUCUCAUUGUUGUCUCUCGUAUAAAUUGUGCUCUUAUUUAAAACUUUAAAAUCAGAAAUACUGUUUGUAACUCAAAAGGAAUGAUGCAUUGAGCACACCUUUCCAAUAUAAGCGUUAAAUUCAACUGUAAAUAGGUUCUGAUUGGCAAGUUUUUUGUGAUGCGGAUGAGUUUCAUCUAAAACAUUUGAAACAUUUUUGAUUUAUUUUGAUUUGAAACAUUUUUGUUUUAUUUUGGUAAAUACUUCUCUUGUUCUAUUUUUUAAGUGUGUAAAUUGAGAUGAUUUGCUGUUAUUAGGUCAAAUUCCUGAUUUGCUUAUUUUUAUUUCUAGAAACUAUGUCAUGGUCCAAACCAGAAACUAAAGGGACAGUGCCACUUCCACGAAGCCUUCAUACAGCCAGUGUUAUAGGAAACAAGUAUGGCUUUCCUUUGUUCUUUUGUUUUUUUUAUUUUUACCAACUGAAAAGAUUCACACAAAAAAAAGUAAAGAUGCUACUUUCUUAAAAAUAGACUACCAAACUUAAUAGUGCCUCCAUGUGCAAAAGUAAUCUGUCUGUGGGAGCUGAAACACCUGCUCACCGUUACCUGUCAGUACUGUCUCUGAUGCUCACCCACACACCGUUACCUGUCAGUACUGUCUCUGAUGCUCACCUGCACACCGUUACCUGUCAGUACUGUCUCUGAUGCUCACUUAGCUUCCUCUCUGUGACUUUCCUCGUAUGGGUGUCAUGGCCAUCAGCAGGUUUCAGCAAGCUGCUUUAUCCUCUCUGUGGUUAGAUUCCCAGCAGCCACAUGGUGGUUCACAUCCAGUAGUAACUCCAGUCCCAGGGAAUCAGAUGCCUCUGCCGGCUUCCUCAGGCACAAGGCACACAUGUGAUGCAUAUGCAUACAUGCAUGCAAAACAGCCAUACUAAUGAAAUAAAAUAUGUCUUGAAAAGAAUUCUCUCUCAUUGGCCACCGUCAGCCUGGGAGAGCAAGGUCUAAAAACCAGGUGGACUAAAUUCUCAUGCAAUAGCCAGCUUUAUUCAGGAUCACAUGAGUAAGGUGUUCAAUCACAAGGACAAGACACAUGUGGCAAAACAUAUUUUUUCAUACAGGCAUAUGAAUAACAACAGCUGAAGUAAAGUGUCCACUACGCCUGGAAGGAGCAUGAACACACAUCCCAAGGACAGUUGUGUGCUUUGAAGAAACUCAAGUCUCAAGACUCUGGUUUUCUUGGAGUUUUCUCACACACUCACAAUUCUCACACUGCUCAAUUCCUGGACUGUGUUCCGACAAGAACCUCUAGGUGCUGGGGAAAGUUUAAGCUUAUUUAUCUGUUUUAACAGUGCCGGAGUUUGAACUGAGAGUUUUACGCAUAUUUCAUAAAUGUCUUACC